Molecule: transfer-messenger RNA, 402 nt
Filed under: Mycoplasmataceae bacterium
Lineage: Bacteria; Bacillati; Mycoplasmatota; Mollicutes; Mycoplasmatales; Mycoplasmataceae
Rfam family: transfer-messenger RNA
About the family: Bacterial tmRNA, also known as 10Sa RNA or SsrA, is named for its dual tRNA and mRNA-like properties. Its role is to liberate the mRNA from a stalled ribosome. To accomplish this part of the tmRNA is used as a reading frame that ends in a translation stop signal.
Source: RNAcentral
GGGGAUGUCAUGGUUUCGACAUGAAUAAUUGACUUUCAAAGGCAGUGGGGUUUGCCCCUUAUAGCUAUCGAGAACGCUAAAUGCAGACUCAAGAGAAGAUAACGUUAAUUUAGACGAAGCAUUCUUAGUUAACCAAUUAUCAACACAAAACAACCUUAACUACGCAUUUGUAGCCUAGGCCUUUGUGUCUCCAGGUGUUAGGGUUAGACUACUUACCUUAAUACAGUAGAAUAAGUAGUUAUGUUAAGUUGACGCCUAUAGACUUAAUGAAUUCAUAGGCUAAGUUACUUCAAGGUUGUUCUAAUACCGAUGGUAGUAAUGAAAUGCUAAAUUAGAACUAAACUGUAGAAUUUGUUAGAAGAUUAUUUGUGGAAAUGGGUUCAAUUCCCAUCAUCUCCACCA